UGGCUCAGAACGAACGCUGGCGGCGUGGCUAAAGCAUGCAAGUCGAACGCGAAAGCCCCUUCGGGGGCCGGUAGAGUGGCGAAAGGGCGAGUAAUGCAUGGGUAACGUACCCUCGGCACGGGGAUAGCUGCGGGAAACUGCAGGUAAUACCCGAUGAGACCACGGUGUCAUAAGACACAGGGGUCAAAUGUAGGGUUUCGGCCUGUCGGCCGAGGAGCGGCCCAUGUCCUAUCAGCUUGUUGGUGAGGUAACGGCUCACCAAGGCGACGACGGGUACCGGGACUGAGAGGUUGGCCCGGCGCAUUGGGACUGAGACACUGCCCAGACUCCUACGGGAGGCUGCAGCACCGAAUCUUCCGCAAUGGGCGCAAGCCUUACGGAGCGACGCCGCGUGUGGGAUGAAGCCCCCCGGGUGUAAACCACUGUCAGGGGUUAGCAAGUGAAAGGGGUUAAUACCCCCUGGAAUUGAGCAGCCCCAGAGGAAGCCACGGCUAACUUCGUGCCAGCAGCCGCUGUAAUACGAAGGUGGCAAGCGUUGUUCGGAAUCACUGGGCUUAAAGAGCACGUAGGCGGUCUAUCAAGCGUCUUGUGAAAUCCCUCGGCUCAACCGAGGAAUGGCUGGGCGAACUGGUAGACUUGAGGCAGGUAGGGGCGCGCGGAACUCUUGGUGGAGCGGUGGAAUGCGUAGAUAUCAAGAGGAACGCCAGUGGCGAAAGCGGCGCGCUGGGCCUGUCCUGACGCUGAGGUGCGAAAGCCAGGGGAGCGAACGGGAUUAGAUACCCCGGUAGUCCUGGCCCUAAACGAUGUCCACUAGGUCGGAGGUUCUCUGACGUUCUUCUGGCCGAAACGAAAGCGUUAAGUGGACCGCCUGGGGAGUACGGUCGCAAGGCUAAAACUCAAAGGAAUUGACGGGGGCUCACACAAGCGGUGGAGCAUGUUGCUUAAUUCGAUGCAACGCGAAGAACCUUAUCCUGGGCUUGACAUGUUUGGAUGCCCAUCUGGAAACAGAGUAGGCUGCCCUUCGGGGUGAAACUUGCACAGGUGCUGCAUGGCUGUCGUCAGCUCGUGUCGUGAGAUGUUGGGUUAAGUCCCGUAACGAGCGAAACCCUUGUCGCUAGUUGCCAGCGCGUAAUGGCGGGGACUCUAGCGAGACUGCCGGUGUUAAACCGGAGGAAGGUGGGGAUGACGUCAAGUCCUCAUGGCCUUUAUGCCCAGGGCUGCAAACGUGCUACAAUGGUCCGUACAAACCGACGCAAGACCGCGAGGUGGAGCAAAUCGGAAAAAGCGGGCCUCAGUUCGGAUUGGAGUCUGCAGCUCGACUCCAUGAAGUCGGAAUCGCUAGUAAUCGCGUAUCAGCGUGACGCGGUGAAUGUGUUCCUGAGCCUUGUACACACCGCCCGUCAAGUCAUGGAAGCCGGGAGCGCCCGAAGUCGGGACAUUUCAGUCCUGCCGAAGGUGAGCUCGGUGACUGGGACUAAGUCGUAACAAGGUA
This 1492-nucleotide ribosomal RNA is filed under the name metagenome. Its description in RNAcentral is "bacterial SSU rRNA". It matches the Rfam family "Bacterial small subunit ribosomal RNA". The record is from RNAcentral.